Long non-coding RNA from Mya arenaria, 370 nucleotides. RefSeq lists it as uncharacterized. The transcript has 3 exons. NCBI's taxonomy places the organism in Eukaryota, Metazoa, Mollusca, Bivalvia, Myida, Myidae. The record is from RefSeq and is a predicted model, not a curated record.
GCCCUGUGUCACUACAAGGGCCUGUAUUACCGACAGGGCGAGUCCUGGUAUGACGGAUGUGGACUCCAGUGCCGCUGUGAGGACGCCCUGAACCACUACUACCAGUGCACGGACAGGUGCCCCAAGUACACCAACGUGCCUUCCACGUGCACAUUCGUCGCCGACCCCAAGGACCCACAGUGUUGCCGGGUACCACAGUGUCAGAACGCCGGCGGAAAUGUAGGAACAACGGGAUUUGUUGGCGCCUUCACCGGAUAUGGCCACCCAACCAGCAUCAUAUCUGGGCAGAUCAGCCAUACCAGUUACAACAGCAAAUGUCUGUACAAGGGUCAGGUGUACGCCCAGGGCGCCACGUGGCAGGACGGCUGCG